UGCGUAGGCGGAAUAUUAAGUCAGUGGUGAAAUCCUGCGGCUCAACCGUAGAACUGCCAUUGAUACUGAUAUUCUUGAAUGUAGUUGAGGUAGGCGGAAUGUGUAAUGUAGCGGUGAAAUGCUUAGAUAUUACACAGAACACCGAUUGCGAAGGCAGCUUACUAAACUAUGAUUGACGCUGAGGCACGAAAGCGUGGGGAGCGAACAGGAUUAAUACCCUGGUAGUCC
This 228-nucleotide ribosomal RNA is filed under the name uncultured bacterium. RNAcentral describes it as "partial 16S ribosomal RNA". It matches the Rfam family "Bacterial small subunit ribosomal RNA", at positions 568 to 796 of the family's 1533-position model. The record is from RNAcentral.